GCAUGUCGCUUACAAAUCCAACAUCCCGCCCGACACGAGAGGGGCAGAAACGGCGGGGCAGACGGCCAGCCUCUUGAACAUGAGCAUAGCAGUGCAAUAUCGCACAUUGGGUCCCCGCCUGCUUCACCUGGCCACCUUUGCUGAUUUGUCUGACAUCCCUGUCUACACACUUUUAUCCGCCCACGCUUGAGACGUCCUCCUCAGCGCGCAGGCUUCACGGUACCAACCGUGCGGUAUCAUCGCUACAUGAUGAGUGCACUGCCCCAACCAUUGAAGCAUCACAAGGUGCUUGCCUGCCGCCGCCGCCGCUGAUACGUACACGAUUGCUGCCACACAACCAACACAUCACACCCAACAAUCACAACAACAAAACAACUGAGACCCGCCGCCGCGCAACGCACACUGCUGUACACGCCCCAGGGCCGAGAACACAACGCAACACAAGCACCUGACAUGCCUCAUCCAGGCAUGCGUCACUCAAUCGCCCACCGAGCCGACCUCGCACACGCCGUUCGUGAGCCCCUGCGGCUGACAUGCCCGGCCCUGCCCCCUUGGCACCGCAGCCCUGCCGCCUUGGCACCGCCGCCCAUUGCCCCACCCCCAUGCUGCGUGCCAUGUAAGAAUAAAGCCAGGUCCCCAUCAAGCCGCAGCAUAUAUCCCCGCCAAGCCACCACACUCCUCUUGCCGCACGCUACCAACCACCACCAGCACAGGACCGGCACCUGCCUGUCCCCCUGUUUAGUUUGGGCUGAUAUUUACAACCCCCCACCCUCCCCUCCCCACCUUCCCCAUUGCCAACCUCGCCCACCGCGCCGACAUACACGCCGGCACCUCGCUCGUGCCUCUCGAGGCCUCCCAUCUUCCGUAGCUAGAGAUCCCCAUCCACUAGCAUCCACUUGGGCUCCAGCCCACUCCUGAUGCACACGCCAGCAUUAUCCAGGUCUGCAUGGUUUGCAUGUCUGCCUACCGUGCACGCACACCUGCCUAGCUACGCCGACCUACUACCGUCCUCCUCGACCCGACCCGCCGCCGCCGCCGCCUCCCUCUGGCCGCCGUGCCGGCCGCACCAGCAGCUGCUGUUGUGGGUUGCCGCCAGAGCCGCCGCCGCCCUUGCUGGUAGUGGUGGUGGUUGCGGGCUGCUGCGGCGCGGCCGUAAUGACAGCCGCAGCGCCGCCCACGGCACCCACUGCCACUGUUUCCACCGCCACCGCCGGCUGCUGCAGCCGGCGCAGCAGGUAGGCCUCCUGCUCCUCCGGGCUCUUCAGGCCCGCCCACUCCCAGUACGGCAGCACAAGAACGCCGCCGCCCUCCCCGAACGCCCGCCGCAGCUGCCGAAUGCGCAUGGCCGUACCACCGUCAACAGCGGUGGGGUCGCGCUUUAGAUUGGACAGAAAGCGUGCCGGUCCGAGGAGCUCCACCGCCGCCUGCUGCCCGUCACUCAGCCGCACCACCGCAUCCACUGGCGCCAACGCGCCUUGCGCGACCACGCCCGUUUGUACGGACACGACGGCAAGGCCUCCUGCUGCCUCACGCCCCUGGUGCUGCUCAAGCCGCCGCAGCGCUGCGACGACCUGCUUUUGGAUGUCAGAUGUGGGCUUGGCGUUUUCCCUCUCAGCAGUCACCGCCGCUGCCAUCGCCGCCUGCAGGCCGGGGCUGCUCCCCAGGGCCGCCGCAACCUCGCCGCCUAGCUCUUGCUGCGCCUGCCACAGCUGAUUGAGAUUCUCAGUUGUAAAACCCUCCCAACGGCUUACUGCUUCACGGGCUAGCUGAAUGGAUAGCUGCUGCAUGUCGGGAGAAUACGUGCCUCCAAUCACCGCCAUGGCCCACAGGCUGUUUGAUAUGUUUUGGUUGUUUACCGCCUGCCUGUCGCGCUGCAGCAGCUCGCCCAGCCGGCCGCACACCGCCGCCUCCAAGCCAGCGUGCCGCAGCUGCAGCACCGCCAGCGCCCAGAGCGUGUUUGCACAGUUCUGACCACCGGCACUACUGGCGCGCAUGGCUGCUGCUGCUGCACCCGCAUCCAGCAGCUCCGGCGGCGGCUGGUGGCGCAUCAACGCAAGCGCGUACAGCAGGUUGGCCCAGGCCUGAGGCGUCGCACGGGCCAUGACGCCCGGCCGCAUUGCUGCGACCACCGCUGCCGAAGCCCACUGCCGCUGCUCUGCCGGCGCCUCCGGGCCCACCCCAAAUCCGAUCUUGGCCAGGGCCCACGCUGAGUUGCUGAGGUCCUGAGCCACGUACCCGGCAAAUCCCCGACGCACGUCCUCUGCGGCCACUGCCACCACCAGCUCUGCCUGCUCGCCGCCCAGCUGCAGCCCCUCCAGCGCCAGCAGGAUGUUGGACAGAUGCUGCGGCUUGAACGCUUCAGCAUCCUUCGGUGCUCGGAGCUGCCGCAGCGCCUCCCCGCACAGCGCCUCAACUGCUGAUCGGUACUCUGGUCCCAUGCAACCCAAAGCCGCAAACGCCCAGAGGGUAUUGGACAGAUGUUGCGUCUCCAUGCUGAGACUGAGCGCCGCUGCCGCCUCUGCCAGCGGCAGCAGGAGUUCCGGUUCCGGGUAACCCAGCUUGGCGCACGCCCAGAGAAUGUUGGACACGUCCUGUGCUGUGAAGCCGUGACCAACCGCCACUCCCAACCGGGAGGCCACAGCUGCCGCCAAGGUCUGCAAGUGCGGAGAUGAGGUGGGGUCCCAGCCUGAGCCCCGCUGCUCCUGGUCUUGCUUGAUCUUGCCGAGUGCGUACAUGACGUUUGUAAGACUUUGAGGUUUUGCAGUUCCAAGAACCUCUGAAUCCAACAGCCGCUCCAGCAGCGCUGCUAUGAGCUGAGCCUCCAUGGCCGAGCCGCCGCUGAUCCCUGCUUUCCCCAGCGCCCACAGCACGAUGCUGCAAUCAACCGCCUUGCGGAUGCGCGGCACGAGCGGCAGGUAGGCCGGCGCAAGCAUGCCGAUAAUGCUGCUGCGUGCUACAGCCGUUUGGCUUGCUCCAGCGCGCGACUCCAGCUGCGUUCAAAACAGUUAUGAGGGACAUACAUGGGGUCAAGUGCUAUAUGCAUGUGUUUGUGCGUGUGCGUGAACAGGUGCGCAUGCAAGUCCUGUGUGGCCAUCUGCGUCGUGAGAACCGGAAGUCCGGGCCGAGAAUGACAACAAUUGGACUCGCCCUCAAUUCUGCACUUUAUUUCUCUGCCCAUUCCCACCUGCACGUUUUAGUCCUCCCUCUCACCUUGCCGCACAGGUUGAACGCCGCACACAUGGUAAUGAAGUCUUUUCGGCCCUCCCACACUGAUAGCCGCUGGCUGAUGAUAGCUUGCAGGUCCUCCAGAGUCCGACACACGGUCAUGUCAUCCGCGGGGUCACGCCCGCUGCCCCUGCUUCUGCCGCUGGCGCGGCUGCCAUCGCCUGCCCUGCCUCCGCCGCUUCCCCUACCCGCCGCCGCCUGCACUAUUGGCCGCCCGAGGCGGGAGCUACUGCUGCCGCAGAGCACUACCGCCGUCGAGACGCGCAGUGGGGAUGAGCUGCUACUGUUGAGUGCUGGGACAGAAGUAGCGGCGGCAGCGCGCGGUGAGCUGGGGCCGGUGUCGGCAGCGGUCCGAUGCAUGCCAUAAACGAACAGUCUUCUAAACGCGCACGCCGGUGGCGGUGCCUGGAGACGGGCUGAUAACGAAUGGCUACAGCCAUGUACGCUGUGCCUGUGCGCACCAGCGGGAGAGCCCGCGACGACGCGCAGGGCGAGCAUCUCGGGCCUCCUCACGGCGGCGACCUGAGCUAUAGCGACUCUAUCCGUCUACGUGUCUGAGCACUGCAAAUGCAUUAGGCUUGCAUUUGUGGGAGAAUAACGCAAGGAACGAAAGGUCAGGUGCGUGUAGGUCGCUGGGCCAAAGCCGCCUGAGUAGCUGUGGCUUGGUAUGGAUGAUAAAGCAACUGAAUCAAUUUGCCACCGGUGUUGAGGCGAGGGCGACCUGACCGCGAAAUACACGGCCCGAGGGCACGCCCCGUAUCAACACCCCUCGCGACCUCCAAACACGUGCACUGAACCGCGAAGCCCUCCCCCAAGCCUAUCGCGGCUGCUAUUCCCAUGUCCUCCUCCCCAACCAUUCUGCAUACAGGCUCUGGCGUGAGUCCCUGCCCGCGUCAUUUGACACCCGUCGACCACGACUGAGGUGCAACGCAUGUCGCUUACAAUUCCAACAUCCCGCCCGACACGAGAGGGGCAGAAACGGCGGGGCAGACGGCCAGCCUCUUGAACAUGAGCAUAGCAGUGCCAUAGCGCACAUUGGGUCCCCGCCUGCUUCACCUGGCCACCUUUGCUGAUUUGUCUGACAUCCCUGUCUACACACUUUUAUCCGCCCACGCUUGAGACGUCCUCCUCAGCGCGCAGGCUUCACGGUACCAACCGUGCGGUAUCAUCGCUACAUGAUGAGUGCACUGCCCCAACCAUUGAAGCAUCACAAG
RNAcentral lists this long non-coding RNA (4439 nucleotides) under Chlamydomonas reinhardtii. Its description in RNAcentral is "long non-coding RNA (CREI_LNC001184)". Lineage: Eukaryota; Viridiplantae; Chlorophyta; Chlorophyceae; Chlamydomonadales; Chlamydomonadaceae. The record is from RNAcentral.